Molecule: long non-coding RNA, 321 nt
Filed under: Elaeis guineensis (African oil palm)
Lineage: Eukaryota; Viridiplantae; Streptophyta; Magnoliopsida; Arecales; Arecaceae
Description: long non-coding RNA (EGUI_LNC041481)
Source: RNAcentral
GGGGUAGCACAAUAUAAUUGUCAGUAGGCAGCUAAGGACGAUGUCUAUAAGUGGAGUGUAGCAUAGUUGUUCGUUUCUUUCUGGCUCCCAAAGAUCCAAGUCAGGGCUGCAGUGAUGAGAGGUCUCUCACAAAAGGGGUAGGGCAUACAGAUGAUGCUUCUUACCGAGGUCUAUUGAGAGAGCUCGGUCAUGAGGCAAUGUAUAUUUCUAAAGAUGAGCGCUGAGGACAAUGGCCGAGAUGGUAAGACCCCGUAAUAGCUUUAAAUACAUGUAGAGUAAAAUUAUCACAUGGAGUGGAAAACAAAUGUUAAAGUCAAAGGA